UAAUACGUAGGCAGCGAGCGUUGUUCGGAGUUACUGGGCGUAAAGGGUGUGUAGGCGGCCUAUUAAGUUUGGUGUGAAAUCUCCCGGCUCAACCGGGAGGGUGCGCCGAAAACUGGGAGGCUAGAGUGCGGGAUGGGAGAGUGGAAUUCCUGGUGUAGCGGUGAAAUGCGUAGAUAUCAGGAGGAACACCGGUGGUGCAGACGGCUCUCUGGACCGUAACUGACGCUGAGACACGAAAGCGUGGGUAGCAAACAGGAUUAGAUACCCUGGUAGUCCACGCCCUAAACGAUGCAUAUUUGGUGUGGGUCAUUCAGUUGAUCCGUGCCGGAGCUAACGCGUUAAAUAUGCCGCCUGGGGAGUACAGUCGCAAGGCUG
Molecule: ribosomal RNA, 375 nt
Filed under: uncultured bacterium
Lineage: Bacteria
Description: bacterial SSU rRNA
Rfam family: Bacterial small subunit ribosomal RNA
Source: RNAcentral